AUGGAACCUCUGAGUGAUCUUCACUCUAAGAAGUUGUUUUUCAAUAGGAUCUUCGGCUCUGAGGAUUGCUGCCCUGAUAUAUUGAAAGAUGUUUCCGAUGCAAUCUUGAGAAAAUGUGGAGGUCUACCAUUGGCAAUAAUAAGUAUAUCUGGUUUGUUGGCAAGUAGACCAGCUGUAAGAAAUGAACGGGAGAAGAUUCGGAAGUCGAUUGGUUUUGCACUUGAUAAAAGUCAAAGUCUAGAGGGCAUGAAGAGCAUACUAUCCCUUAGCUACAGUUCUCUUACACCUAAUCUCAAGACAUGUUUGUUGUACUUUAGUAAUUUUCCUGAGGAUUACAAGAUUGAGAGAGAUACAUUGGUUAGGCGGUGGAUAGCGGAAGGCUUUAUUUCUGAAGAGCGUGGGCAGAGCCGACAAGAGGUUGCAGAGAACAAUUUUUAUGAGCUUAUCAACAAAAGCAUAGUCCAACCAAUGGACAUUGGUUAUGAUGGUAAGGCUCGUGCAUGUCGAGUCCAUGACUUGAUGCUUGAGUUUGCUAUUUCAAAGGCGGCUGAAGAGAAUUUCAUCACCGUGCUAGGUGGCCAAAUGGUGUUACCAAAUUCCAAUUGUUAUAUUCGACGACUAUCAGUCCAGCACAUUAACUCGGAGCUUGCAUCGACAUUGGCAAGUAAAGAACUCCACCAUGUUCGGUCUCUUACUGUUUCAGGCUGCAUCAAGCAAAUGCCUAACCUUGUUGAGUUUGAAAGUUUGCGUGUAUUGGAUUUUGAAGGUUGUGAGGGUUUGAAGGAGUAUGAUUUGAACAAUAUCAACAAACUUUUCAAACUAAAGUACCUUAGCCUUCGAAGUACACAUAUCAAAUGACCAUCAGGAGUUGUAACGCUGCAUGAUCUGGUGACACUAGAUCUUAGGGAUACAUAUAUCCAAGAGUUGCCUGCUGGAAUCGUUCAGCUCAGUAAACUACAAUAUCUUCUCACUGCAAGGGAAACAACGAUACCAAGUGGGAUUGGAAAGAUGAAGAGCUUAUGUGAGAUCUCAGGCUUUAAUAUAACAACGAGUUCAGUUGGAGCAGUGGAGGAGCUCGAGAACUUGACCAAUUUGACUGAACUCCAUGUGGUGUUCAACGGUGGAGGAUCUGACAAGUACAAGAGGCAUGAAGAGAUGUUGUUUUCCUCACUAUGCAAGCUUGGCAGGUAUAGUCUCCAGUCCUUUAGGAUACAAAGUAAAGAUUCAACUCCCCUUGACUUCUUAGAUUCAUGGUGCCCUCUGCCAUCGUCGCUACAAUUGUUCAUUAUGAGUGCCAUCUAUUAUUUGCCAAAACCUCCAAAGUGGCUUGCACCAACAGUGACCAGCCUUACACAUCUCAACAUCAAUCUGAGUGAAAUAACGGAGGAGGAUAUCAACAUACUUGGAAGGAUGCCUGCUUUGAUUUCAUUGGAGUUAUGGUUUAAGACUGUUCGAAAAGAAAGGCUUAUUGUACAAGGCAAUGGAUUCCGCAGCUUGAAGGAAUUCUACUUUAUUCAUAGUGCAAGAUACCUUCUGUUUGAGGAAGGGGCAUUGCCAAAGGUUGAGAAGCUUCAGGUGCCAUUCUAUGUGUCAGUAGCAGAAGCCUAUGGCUUAUACUUAGGUAUUGAGCACCUCCCAUGUCUAAAAGAUGCAGAAGUUAGUAUUUACAACGAGGGGGCCACGGCUUCUGAAAGCAAGGUUGCAGUAGUUUCCAUAAGGAAUGAGGCAAAUACCCAUCCCAACCAUCCUAGAGUAACUAUCUUCGGACAAGAGAAAAUUUCAUUUCAUUUUCCGUGA
RNAcentral lists this ribosomal RNA (1797 nucleotides) under Triticum aestivum (bread wheat). RNAcentral's name for it is "partial small subunit ribosomal RNA". Lineage: Eukaryota; Viridiplantae; Streptophyta; Magnoliopsida; Poales; Poaceae. The record is from RNAcentral.